This 231-nucleotide ribosomal RNA is filed under the name uncultured bacterium. Its description in RNAcentral is "partial 16S ribosomal RNA". It matches the Rfam family "Bacterial small subunit ribosomal RNA", at positions 524 to 753 of the family's 1533-position model. The record is from RNAcentral.
UACGAGGGGUGCAAGCGUUGCUCGGAAUUAUUGGGGCGUAAAAGGGUAGGUAGGUGGUCUCAUUUGUCUCAUGUGAAUCCUUGGGCUUAACUCAAGAAGUGCGUGAGAAACGGUGAGACUGGAGUCUUGGAGAGGGUCGUGGAAUUCCCGGUGUAGCGGUGAAAUGCGUAGAGAUCGGGAGGAACACCAGAGGCGAAGGCGGCGACCUGGACAAGUACUGACACUCAACUA